UCGGGGUACACGAGUGGCGAACGGGUGAGUAACACGUGGGUGAUCUGCCCUGCACUUCGGGAUAAGCCCGGGAAACUGGGUCUAAUACCGGAUAGGACUGCGCGGUGCAUGCCGUGUGGUGGAAAGAUUUAUCGGUGCAGGAUGGGCCCGCGGCCUAUCAGCUUGUUGGUGGGGUAAUGGCCUACCAAGGCGACGACGGGUAGCCGGCCUGAGAGGGCGACCGGCCACACUGGGACUGAGACACGGCCCAGACUCCUACGGGAGGCAGCAGUGGGGAAUAUUGCACAAUGGGCGCAAGCCUGAUGCAGCGACGCCGCGUGAGGGAUGACGGCCUUCGGGUUGUAAACCUCUUUCAGCAGGGACGAAGCGUGAGUGACGGUACCUGCAGAAGAAGCACCGGCCAACUACGUGCCAGCAGCCGCGGUAAUACGUAGGGUGCAAGCGUUGUCCGGAAUUACUGGGCGUAAAGAGCUCGUAGGCGGUUUGUCGCGUCGUCUGUGAAAACCAGCAGCUCAACUGUUGGCUUGCAGGCGAUACGGGCAGACUUGAGUAUUUCAGGGGAGACUGGAAUUCCUGGUGUAGCGGUGAAAUGCGCAGAUAUCAGGAGGAACACCGGUGGCGAAGGCGGGUCUCUGGGAAAUAACUGACGCUGAGGAGCGAAAGCGUGGGUAGCGAACAGGAUUAGAUACCCUGGUAGUCCACGCCGUAAACGGUGGGCGCUAG
This 723-nucleotide ribosomal RNA is filed under the name Actinomycetes bacterium. RNAcentral describes it as "bacterial SSU rRNA". It matches the Rfam family "Bacterial small subunit ribosomal RNA", at positions 82 to 819 of the family's 1533-position model. Lineage: Bacteria; Bacillati; Actinomycetota; Actinomycetes. The record is from RNAcentral.